UACAGGGGGUGCAAACGUUGCUCGGAAUCAUUGGGCGUAAAGCGCACGUAGGCGGUCUGUUAUGUCGGAUGUGAAAGCCCUUGGCUCAACUGAGGAAGUGCAUCCGAAACUGGCAGGCUAGAGUACUAAAGAGGAUCGCGGAAUUCCCGGUGUAGAGGUGAAAUUCGUAGAUAUCGGGAGGAACACCGGUGGCGAAGGCGGCGAUCUGGGUAGAUACUGACGCUGAGGUGCGAAAAGCGUGGGGGAGCAAACAGG
Molecule: ribosomal RNA, 255 nt
Filed under: uncultured bacterium
Lineage: Bacteria
Description: partial 16S ribosomal RNA
Rfam family: Bacterial small subunit ribosomal RNA
Source: RNAcentral